RNAcentral lists this ribosomal RNA (497 nucleotides) under uncultured bacterium. RNAcentral's name for it is "partial 16S ribosomal RNA". It matches the Rfam family "Bacterial small subunit ribosomal RNA", at positions 28 to 507 of the family's 1533-position model. The record is from RNAcentral.
GAUGAACGCUGGCGGCGUGCCUAAUACAUGCAAGUCGAGCGAACAGACGAGGAGCUUGCUCCUCUGACGUUAGCGGCGGACGGGUGAGUAACACGUGGAUAACCUACCUAUAAGACUGGGAUAACUUCGGGAAACCGGAGCUAAUACCGGAUAAUAUAUUGAACCGCAUGGUUCAAUAGUGAAAGACGGUUUUGCUGUCACUUAUAGAUGGAUCCGCGCCGCAUUAGCUAGUUGGUAAGGUAACGGCUUACCAAGGCAACGAUGCGUAGCCGACCUGAGAGGGUGAUCGGCCACACUGGAACUGAGACACGGUCCAGACUCCUACGGGAGGCAGCAGUAGGGAAUCUUCCGCAAUGGGCGAAAGCCUGACGGAGCAACGCCGCGGGAGUGAUGAUGGUCUUCGGAUCGUAAAACUCUGUUAUUAGGGAAGAACAAAUGUGUAAGUAACUAUGCACGUCUUGACGGUACCUAAUCAGAAAGCCACGGCUAACUACGUG